Long non-coding RNA from Solea senegalensis (Senegalese sole), 555 nucleotides. RefSeq lists it as uncharacterized. NCBI's taxonomy places the organism in Eukaryota, Metazoa, Chordata, Actinopteri, Pleuronectiformes, Soleidae. The record is from RefSeq and is a predicted model, not a curated record. The transcript has 4 exons.
UCUGUCAUAUUGUCUCAGAAUGAUUUAUCCUGGAAGCGGAGAGGAACAUGGGACCAGAGUUAAUCCACUCAUUCUGUAGCUGGAGGCGAUUUGAUAUAGGAGGAGGAGUUUCAGGCUCUGACAGGCUUUCUUCUUUCUUGCUUCUCUGGACUCGAGCCGAAGAACCAGACCAACACUGACCGUUCUCACCAAGCAAAAGCAUGCAGGGCCUCAGAAAGUGAAAUCAGAGCCCAGUUUCACAGUGUGGUGUCCAGUAUUUUGAGACAAAGGCUCUUGAGAGAGGAAGUCUCUGCACAUUUUCACCAAUAUCACACAAGAAAAUCUAACCUGAAAGAACCUUUUUCUUAAAGUACCUCUGCAGUCCUGGAGUCUACAUCUUCACACUUACGCCACGAGGAACAUUUUCUCCUGCGCUGUGUUCGGAUCCGGUGCGUCUCUCCUCACUGCAGACUGCAGCUGAACCCAAUUACAACCUUGUGUACGGGCAAAGGCAGCGCCUGAAUAUCGAUGGAGAACACAGGACACAGGACACAGCACAGAGGACACAGGACAGAG